RNAcentral lists this ribosomal RNA (445 nucleotides) under uncultured archaeon. RNAcentral's name for it is "bacterial SSU rRNA". It matches the Rfam family "Archaeal small subunit ribosomal RNA", at positions 19 to 460 of the family's 1478-position model. The record is from RNAcentral.
GGACCUGACUGCUAUCGGAUUAAUACUAAGCCAUGCGAGUUUUUGUAGUAAUACAAGGCAUACGGCUCAGUAACACGUAGUCAACCUACCCUAUGGACGAGGAUAAUCUCGGGAAACUGAGCAUAAUACUCGAUAGAUCAUAAUGCCUGGAAUGGUUUAUGGUUAAAAUGAUUCGUUCGCCAUAGGAUGGGACUGCGGCCUAUCAGCUUGUUGGUGAGGUAAUGGCCCACCAAGGCGAUUACAGGUACGGGCUCUGAGAGGAGAAGCCCGGAGAUGGGUACUGAGACGAAGGACCCAGGCCCUAUGGGGCGCAGCAGGCGAGAAAACUUUGCGAAUGUGCGAAAGCACGACGAAGGUUAGUCCGAGUGAUUUUCUGCUAAAGAGAAUCUUUUGCGAAGUUCUAAAACCGACUAGUGAAUAAGGGGUGGGCGAAGUUCUGGUGUCG